Molecule: ribosomal RNA, 253 nt
Filed under: uncultured bacterium
Lineage: Bacteria
Description: partial 16S ribosomal RNA
Rfam family: Bacterial small subunit ribosomal RNA
Source: RNAcentral
GACAGAGGGUGCAAGCGUUAUCCGGAUUUACUGGGUUUAAAGGGUGCGCAGGCGGCUAUGUAAGUCAGUGGUGAAAUCUUCCCGCUUAACGGGAAAACUGCCAUUGAUACUAUAUAUCUUGAAUGCUGUGGAGGUAAGCAGAAUAUGUCAUGUAGCGGUGAAAUGCUUAGAGAUGACAUAGAAUACCGAUUGCGAAGGCAGCUUACUACGCAGAUAUUGACGCUCAUGCACGAAAGCGUGGGGAUCAAACAGG